CCUACGGGUGGCAGCAGUGAGGAAUAUUGGUCAAUGGCCGAGAGGCUGAACCAGCCAAGUCGCGUGAGGGAAGACGGCCCUACGGGUUGUAAACCUCUUUUGUCGGGGAGCAAAGCGUACCACGUGUGGUUCAUUGAGAGUACCCGAAGAAAAAGAAUCGGCUAACUCCGUGCCAGCAGCCGCGGUAAUACGGAGGAUGCGAGCGUUAUCCGGAUUUAUUGGGUUUAAAGGGUGCGCAGGCGGAGGUGCAAGUCAGUGGUCAAAUUGCGGGGCUCAACCCCGUACUGCCGUUGAAACUGCAAGCCUUGAGUGCGCUAGAGGUGUGCGGAAUGCGUGGUGUAGCGGUGAAAUGCAUAGAUAUCACGCAGAACUCCGAUUGCGAAGGCAGCAUACCGGCGCGCAACUGACGCUCAGGCACGAAAGCGUGGGUAUCGAACAGGAUUAGAUACCCGGGUAGUC
This 459-nucleotide ribosomal RNA is filed under the name uncultured bacterium. Its description in RNAcentral is "partial 16S ribosomal RNA". It matches the Rfam family "Bacterial small subunit ribosomal RNA", at positions 338 to 795 of the family's 1533-position model. The record is from RNAcentral.